CCUACGGGGGGCUGCAGUGGGGAAUAUUGCACAAUGGGGGAAACCCUGAUGCAGCGACGCCGCGUGAGUGAAGAAGUAUUUCGGUAUGUAAAGCUCUAGCAGCAGGGAAGAAAAUGACGGUACCUGAUUAAGAAGCCCCGGCUAAAUACGUGCCAGCAGCCGCGGUAAGACGUAGGGGGCAAGCGUUAUCCGGAUUUACUGGGUGUAAAGGGAGCGUAGACGGUGAUGCAAGUCAGAAGUUAAAGCCAGGGGCUCAACUCCGGGACUGCUUUUGAAACUGUGUGACUUGAGUGCAGGAGAGGUAAGCGGAAUUCCUGGUGUAGCGGUGAAAUGCGUAGAUAUCAGGAGGAACACCAGUGGCGAAGGCGGCUUACUGGACUGUAACUGACGUUGAGGCUCGAAAGCGUGGGGAGCAAACAGGAUUAGAUACCCGUGUAGUC
This 440-nucleotide ribosomal RNA is filed under the name uncultured bacterium. Its description in RNAcentral is "partial 16S ribosomal RNA". It matches the Rfam family "Bacterial small subunit ribosomal RNA", at positions 338 to 795 of the family's 1533-position model. The record is from RNAcentral.